This is a non-coding RNA of Trichobilharzia regenti, 48 nucleotides long. The record is from Rfam. Lineage: Eukaryota; Metazoa; Platyhelminthes; Trematoda; Strigeidida; Schistosomatidae.
AUCCAGCUGACGAGUCCAAAAUAGGAUGAAAUGCAUGCUGUCCUGGAU